RNAcentral lists this long non-coding RNA (514 nucleotides) under Mytilus galloprovincialis (Mediterranean mussel). Lineage: Eukaryota; Metazoa; Mollusca; Bivalvia; Mytilida; Mytilidae. The record is from RNAcentral.
AGGAACACCAAUACCGAUUGUUACAUGGUCAAGAAUCGGAGAACCCCUGCCAGAGACUUCAACAGUGAACAAUGUGCUCCUAGUUAUUCCAAAGGUCAGAAUUGAGGAUGCUGGACCUUAUGUUUGUACUGCUCAGAAUUAUAGAGGAACAGUACAACAAAGCGUCAAUUUGAUUGUCAAAGGUGAUCAAUUAACAUAGUUUCCAGAUCACUGUUAUGCUUAUAUCACUAAAAGUUCUAACACCUAUGCCAUCUGUGCUAUCGUACAGAGAUUGUAACAGCUUGUGUAAGACAUAAACUAAGGAUGACAGAGAAAAACAAUCUUUUCGCAAUGAUACUUGUGUAACCGGAGAAAAUGAUUUCACUGCAAAAUCACUUUGUUUUCCCCGGGGCUCAAACCCAGGACCUCUGUGUAACAAUUCAGCGCUCUGACCGCUUAAACGUUAUGUAGUUGUUUCAUAACAUGAUGUUGGUGUGUAAUUUUGUAAUGAUGAUUUGCAAUUUUUUUAUAUGGC